This 330-nucleotide ribosomal RNA is filed under the name uncultured bacterium. Its description in RNAcentral is "bacterial SSU rRNA". It matches the Rfam family "Bacterial small subunit ribosomal RNA", at positions 505 to 835 of the family's 1533-position model. The record is from RNAcentral.
GUGCCAGCAGCAGCGGUAAUACGUAGGGUCCGAGCGUUGUCCGGAAUUAUUGGGCGUAAAGGGCUCGUAGGCGGUUUGUCGCGUCGGGAGUGAAAACCAUGGGCUUAACUCAUGGCUUGCUUUCGAUACGGGCAGACUAGAGGUAUGCAGGGGAGAAUGGAAUUCCUGGUGUAGCGGUGAAAUGCGCAGAUAUCAGGAGGAACACCGGUGGCGAAGGCGGUUCUCUGGGCAUUACCUGACGCUGAGGAGCGAAAGUGUGGGAGCGAACAGGAUUAGAUACCCUGGUAGUCCACACCGUAAACGUUGGGCGCUAGGUGUGGGCCUAGUUCC